GAUUAUUUUGUACAUGCAUUUGAGGGAACAUUGAGAAAAAUUACGAGGGGUAGAUGAGUAAUUAAAUUGAUUCCGAAUUGUAAAAUGACUUCUUUUGUAAAUUGAUUUCAUUUUCUCUAUUUCAAAGAUUUGUGAGUGGUAGUCUUGAUUAUACUCCUUUAUGAGUAGUUAAAUUGGAUCCGAAUUGUGAAAUGACUUCUUUUGUAAAUUGAUUUCAUUUCCUCUAUUUCAAAAAUUUGUAGAGCCAUUUUUAGUGGUAUAUUGAGUUGCAUUGCACUCCCAUGAUUCCUCACUCCCAACCCUGAUGUUAGUUAUGAUUGGGUCGUGGCCGAGUGAGUGGUAGUCUUGAUUAUGCUCCUUUUUAGUAGAGUAUUGGGAGGGUGCAUUAUGGCAUUCAUGCAUGGCUUGGCAGUAUCUACAGGACACCUAUAGUCGAUGGGGUUGAACAUCGGCCUGUGUGCACAUAGUAGCCUUCUGGAUGGGCGGAACCCAGUCCCUUCCUAGGGGGCACAGCCGGUCCUAUGACUUAUAUUCUGCUUGCCGCUGGGCAUAGUAAAACCCUGCGAGGUGCAGUAUGGCUUUCCGCGGAUGUAAAAUUCCCGCGAGGUGUCGUUUAGUAUAUAGAUGUGAGAUGUUUCUAUGGAUUUCUGUUAUGGAUACUGGCCAGCAUUUACAUGAUCAGUGUGGUGUCUUAUCCUGCAUAUGCAUGUGACAGUAGGGAGUUGUGGUGGUUCGCCUGGGGUGUAAGACCCACCUUCCGACAGCUGUCCAGUGAUGACUUUGCAUAUUGACAUCCGGAUUUAUAUAUUGGUGUGGUGUCAUAAUCUAUGCAUGCAUAUGGCAGUAGAAAGUUGUUGUGGUUCGCCUGGGGCGUAAGACCCACCUCCCGAUAGUUAUAUAUCAAUGUUUCAGCAUAUUGACACCCGAUUUGUAUGUUCCAGCAUUAUGAUCUGUCGAGCAUAUUCAUGAGUAGCAUAUAUGAUUACUUGAUUAUUCCAUAUGUGCUCUAGAUGAGUUAAUUGUGAUUGUGGUGAUAUUGAUGAUUUACUUCAUAUUCUCUAUGUUGGGUUCAUGUUCAUCUUGUUAUUGAUCUUGAGAUUUCAUCUCGAGCCAUGAUUAUAUUCUGUCUCAUGUGCAUAGUACUCUCUACUCCACUUACUGAGUAUUGAUAUACUCACUCCCUAGUUUGGUGUUUUUGAUUGCAGGGUAGGUAUUGUAUAGAGAGGAGCAGGAUUAGUGGUUGCCUGCUAGCUGUGUCGCUCCAUAGUAUAGUAUAAUGUAGAUAGAGAUUUAUAUCCUUUUGGUGUAUUAUAAACCUUCUGUUGUAUAUUGUGUAUAGUUACAGUCAUAGAUCCUGUUGUGGAUAUGGGUUUGACCAUGGAUGGAAUGAGAACCAGAUUUUUAUACAGAUGAGUUAUAUGCCUGUGAUGAUGUAUUGAUAUAUAUUGUCCAGGUUCAUUAUGUGACAGAUUAUGUGAUUGCUGCUCUGACAGGUAGUGUUGUUGUAUAUAAUGAGAUAAUCCUGACAGUUCACCAUAGAAAAGGUGAUCAUUUUGUGCAUGCAUCAUGCCAAAAUUUUUCAAAAUUUAUUAAUGAUUGAUAGGUAGUAGGAUUCUACAUGGUGGCUGGUGGCCUUAUGCCUACACGCACCCUAGGACCGUCGUGGCGGCCCGCCGGGAACGGAGCGAGGGUCGUGACAAAGAAGUGGUAUCAGAGCAAAGGUUAAAAAGAGUCCUGUCAGAAUAAUAGGGUGAGUCAGGAUUAAGUAUAGGAUUAUACUAUGGAGCAUAGGAUUUUUCUGUAUGUUAAUUUAUGAGUCAUUUACAAUUCAGUAAAAUAUAUUAUGACUCAGUGUGUAACGACUACCCUCUCUUUUUAACUCUUUUAGAGACAUAUAAAGAAUACCUCCAAGGAGAGGACCUGCUCGUCCUGGAAGGAGGAUGGAGCCAGAUAUAGCAUUGGAUGUGGGUUCUGCACAUGUCGAGCCCCAAAGAGAAAAAUCUCCUCCUGCUGAUAGACGGAGGGUUAAUGAUCACGGAGAGGUAGGAAGUAGAGAUGCAUUGAUGGAACAGUUACUGGCGGAGAAUCAGGCUCUGAGAGAGCAGAUUGCUCGGGGGAAACCUCCUGCCCCGUCAGUAGUAUCCAUCCCACCUCCUGUACCUGUGCCAAGAAGUUUGGCCAGGCGGGCUCUAGAUGAUAAAGGGAUUACUGUACAGGAAUUUCUGAGGCUCAGAACCCCGGAGUUUAAGGGGGAAGAAGGUGAAGAUCCUCAGAAAUUCCUGGAGGAGACUGAAAAAAUGAUACGGAGACUGCCCUGUUCUGAUGCAAGAGCUAUAGAACUUGUAGGGCUUACCAUGAAGGAAGAUGCCUGGGACUGGUACCAGAGACAAGUGGAGGACAGAUUGUACAGUAGGAAUCCUCCAACCUAGGAAGAGUUUAGGCAAGCAGUGAUGGAUGAGUUUUUGUCUCCAGCUGAGAGGCAAAAUCGGGCUCUUCAGUUUGAGAGGCUGAAGCAGAUGCCCGGAAUGAGCGUAUCUGAGUACGCUCGUGAGUUCACUAGAUUGGGGAAGUAUGCUCCUUACAUCAUUCCCACUGAAGCUGCCAGGAUAGAAAGAUUCAGGCUUUAUAAUGCAGUACUAGCAGUAGAGGUCCCCACCUUGUCUAGGCUGAUAGAUAAAACAAAAUAGUGGGAGACUAGAAACAAAGAGGAAAGAGCUGAAAGAGAACAGAGGAAAAUGAGUGUGGGGAAGGAGCAAAGCAGUAGAGGUAGAUCUGAGGGAGUAGAUCUCUCGAAGGGCCCGACAGAGCAGUCUGUACGCUCAGCUCCACCUGCCCCACGUAAGAGAAAAUGGAGGAGAAGAGGUCAAUCACAAGAUACUUUUCUACCAUCAGUACCUCGUCCUCCAGUCACUAUGGCCAGAACUGAAUCCGGGUUCCAAUCAUGGCCAGUGUGUGGCAUAUGUGGGAAGCAGCAUCCUGGCAGAUGCAGAAUGGGCCAGGGAGUGUGCUACAGAUGUGGACAGCCGGGUCAUUUUGCCAGAGAAUGCCCGCAGGGUGCCACCCAGCAGUUUGUACCUUUGGCAUCCUACCCUUCUGUGCAGAUGGACAGGUCUAGUAGUAGGGGGCCUGUAGGCAGAGGUAGAGGUUAGACACCAGCGUCACAGCAGAGUGCUGGACCAUCUCAGCCAUCAGCUCCAGUA
Molecule: long non-coding RNA, 3200 nt
Filed under: Phoenix dactylifera (date palm)
Lineage: Eukaryota; Viridiplantae; Streptophyta; Magnoliopsida; Arecales; Arecaceae
Description: long non-coding RNA (PDAC_LNC012585)
Source: RNAcentral